AAACCUGGAAGAUCUCGUAUGGAUGGCACGGUGGGCGGCCGUCCUGCGGGAGGCCGAGCGGAGGGGCAACGUCGUCGUUGGCAACGUCUUCUCCGGCAGCGACGUCGACGGAAGAGCUGGCCGUGUGACAGCAGAUGAUCUUUACCUCUUCGCGCGUACUGUGGACUGGUUGGCAUGGGGCAUGCCAUGUUUCAACUUCUUGGUUGGCCUGUGCCCGUGGAACGAACUUCAUUUCCUCGUGUAGUUCCGUGUGUACGUGAUGUGAGCGCCGUGUUGUGCAUCUGUAAAAGGGCCAACAAAAUUGCCAUUUACUUGAGUUUUGAGUUUUUAGAUCAUUAGGCUCUUAAAUCGAUGAGAAUUGCUAAAAAAAAAGACACACGGCCAGCCCAUUUCCGCCAUUAAAAAUCUUAUUGGAGGUCGGCCUUACGGUGAAACCAACAACAAUGGCACGCCUAGUUUGUCUUAUCCAGUCCCUAUCAAAUCCUUCAGCCAGUAUAGUCAUUCGAAAUAAAGAAACAAUCUGUUAUCACAGUUGUGAAUCGUGAUCAGUAGCGUACCCUGUUUGCGCUUCAGCCAUGACAGAAG
Molecule: long non-coding RNA, 585 nt
Filed under: Oryza brachyantha (malo sina)
Lineage: Eukaryota; Viridiplantae; Streptophyta; Magnoliopsida; Poales; Poaceae
Description: long non-coding RNA (OBRA_LNC000980)
Source: RNAcentral